Felis catus (domestic cat) is the source of this 13176-nucleotide RNA transcript. It is a transcript of the gene named dynein axonemal heavy chain 6, with no coding region annotated. NCBI's taxonomy places the organism in Eukaryota, Metazoa, Chordata, Mammalia, Carnivora, Felidae. The record is from RefSeq and is a predicted model, not a curated record. The transcript is spliced from 79 exons.
CUUUAAUUCAACAUUAAUUACAACGGCAGCUUAGGAAAAACCUCACGCGAGGCGGGUCGGCGCAUAGCAUUGUGGGAAAUGUAGUUUGGUGGCCUAGACUUUGUGGUUUAGGUGGAGGCGUGCGGGAGGGGAAGCGAGCGGGAAAGGGGAUACUCAGACCCAGGAGAUGGGGUGGCAAGAGAAAUGAAGUGCGAAGAGCAGUGCAGAACUUUCCGUAUCCUUAAACCAAUCUGGACCUUCAUUUAUCUCGGCUGGCAUACGGAGAGGCCAAUAUUAUUCCUCACCACAUACCCUUGUGAGGACCUGGAAGAAUUACCGAUGGUAACAAUGUGAGUUCAUGCUAUUGUCCAGUGAAGGAGUGAGGAUGGCAUUCCACACCUCAGCGAAAGAUGCCAAACUGAAAAAUACUGAAAAGCAGGUGGAAAACCCUAUCUUUGAAAGACUGAACAAUAUACAAAAAAAGGGAAGACUGAGUUUUAUAGUACCCACAGAAAAUGAAUCUGACACACAAUUCCUGACGUUUAGGCACAGUACAAAAGCUCAAGAGAGAACAAGAAAACGACAGCAGCCCAUAAAACUAGAGCCUCUGCCAGUGCUAAAAGUCUACCAAGAUCAUAAGAGGCCAGAAUACAUAUAUGAACAGAACCGAUUUCAGUUAAUCUCUUCUGGAAUCAUAAAGCCUCCAGGAAGCACUGAAGAAAGAAGUUCUACCAAAUUAUCUGUUCAGUUUCUUGAGCCUCAGUAUACUGUGAGGAAGAAAAAACAGCAGCCCUCUGCUGAGAUGUUCUCUCCCUCUCCUCCUAAACUGUCACGUACCAGUAUUGGAAGAAGAGGUCUCUAUGGGACCAGUUCCUCAGCGUACCCUAAGUACUUUUUCCAUGAUCGGGAAGAAGUCGUUAAAGCCAACGUUCGUAAUCCUUUGCAAAUCAUUAAAAUAAUACGUGAAAAUGAACACCUCGGAUUUCUUUAUAUGAUCCCUGCAGUGCCAAGGUCUUCCACUGAAUAUGAUACAUAUAAUCUCAAAGUUGUAAGUUAUGAGAACAUCAAUAAAAAUGACUACUAUACUAUUAGCAAAAAAGCCGUAACACACAUUUAUAAUGAGGACAUUGAGUAUAUCGAAAUUGAUCGAUGGGAACAGGAGUAUCUAUAUCACAGAGAACUCACUAAAAUUCCCAUAUUUGCACUUUUCCGGAAAUGGAAGGCUUUUAAUGUGUGGAAGAAGAAUGUCCGUUCCAAGAAAAUCAGUGGUUGUCGACAAUCUCUACAAAAAAAUUUGUUCAUUGUUAAUCCUCAUUUGCGACCGGCUCUUCUUAAAAUAAAUGAAUUAUGCUAUAACUUGAGUUUUAUCAGACUUUGUUAUAUUGAAAAAUGUCAUACUUAUACCCUGCAAGAAUUUAAGGCCACACAAAUCAUAUGGUUAGAAGAGGUGACAACGCGCCUAGAAGAAUUUCGAAAUGAGGCAAAAGUUGUGGUCAGGAAGGCUUGUCGAAUUGCUCUGCAUGCCGCAGGAUUUAUUCCUGAUGACUGUCAACAUAAACCUGUUGAGGAUUAUUGUAAAAUGCCAGAUGGUGGAGGUCUCACUGAGUUGCCUGCUUAUUCAGACUCUGAGAAAAUGACAUACACAGAGCAGGCCAGCAAAAGGCACCACUGCAUGAGGCUAACAUGCUUUAUCCGUCUAAAUGACUAUCUAAUUGAGAACACAAUGCACAUCCUAACAGUAAAUUCUGUUAACUCUCUUUUGAAUUAUCUCACUGACAAGCUAAAACGAACACCUUCAGCAGAUGUCAUUCAGAAAUGGAUUACUGAAGAGAAGCCUGAUGUCACUGAUAAAAAGGGGGCCUCUGUGGUGGAAAAGCAGGAAGAAGAUGAGUCUCUCAUCCCUAUGUUUCUCACAGAACUGAUUUUGACAGUCCAAUCAUUACUCUUCGAGCCUUCUUUGGAAGACUUCCUGGCUGGUAUUUCAGAUGCAAUUAAUCAAUUUCAAAACACUGUGCUAUCAGUUCCUAAUCUUGUACCUGAUACAUAUUUUGACGCUUUUACCAGACCUUACAUUAACAACAAACUUGAAGAAAAAACUUGUGGAUUUGGUCCAAGCCUAUCAGCAGUAUUUGAUGAUGAUAAGAAUUUUCACACAAUUAUCCUUCAAAUAAAGGAAACCAUACAAACAGCAUUUGAAUCUGCCCGAUUAUAUGCAGCUACGUUUGAGAAGUUCCAUAUAUUCUUCAAGGAAAAUGAAAGUCUUGAUUUACAAGCUCUUAAACUUCAAGAACCUGAUGUUAAGUUUUUUGGAGAACAACUGGAAAAAUACCACAGACAGCACAAGGACGCAAUAGCUCUAAGACCCACCAGAAAUGUAGGAUUGCUGCUCAUUGAUACAAAGCUGCUAAAAGAAAAACUAAUCCCAUCACCUUUGCGAUGCUUGGAGGUGCUAAAUUAUAUGCUUCCUCGUCAAAGCAAGAAAAAAGUGGAUGCCAUUAUCUCUGAGGCACAAGAUGCAGAGUAUAAACUUGAAUUUGUUCCAACUACCACCAUAGAAUAUGUUAACAGCUUAGUAUUUCUUGAUGAAAUUCAGGAAAGGAUCGAAAGCCUUGAAGAUGAAGGGAAUGUAGUGAUUCAAAUGUACAAGCUCAUUGAACAGUAUCAGGUUCCCACACCUCCUGAAGACUUUGCUGUUUUCGCUACUAUGAAGCCAUCCAUUGUUGCAGUUCGGAAUGCCAUUGAUAAAUCUGUGGGUGACAGAGAAACAAGCAUUAAGCAGUUUUCUCUGCAUUUGGGUAGAGAUCUUGAAGACCUAACCAAUGAAGUGAAUGAAGUAAAGCUACACGCACAGGAUCCACAGAUCUUAGAUAUUACUGCUGACCAAGACAAAAUAAAGCUCAUGUUGCACGAUCUGCAGUUGGUUCUAGAUGAUCUUCAAAAACGUGCAUUUCAAUAUAAAUCCUAUCAGAAGAAUUUUAAGAUAGAAGUAUCCAAGUUUGAAGCUUUGGAAGAAGUUAGUGCUGAGUUGAAGCUCAAACAAUUGCUCUGGGAUUCUUUAUCUGAAUGGGAUCAACUCCAACAAGAAUGGUUAAAGUCCAAAUUUGACAGCCUGGAUCCAGAAGUCCUAAAUAGUCAAGUUUCUAAAUAUGCCAAAUUUGUGACUCAAUUGGAAAAAGGCUUGCCACCCAACAGUGUAGUUCCUCAGCUAAAAUGUAAGGUGGAAAAAAUGAAAGAAAAGCUUCCAGUUAUCACUGACUUGAGGAAUCCAACUUUGAAGCCAAGACAUUGGGCAGCUAUUGAACAAACAGUUGACGCCACCCUAGUGGACCUUGACAUUCCAUUAACCUUGGAGAAGCUCUCUGAGUUGCAUGUUUUCGAUUUUGGCCAAGAAAUCCAGGACAUUUCUGGACAGGCUUCUGGAGAAGCUGCCUUAGAAAUAAUUCUUAAAAAGGUGGAAGAUUCUUGGAAAACAACUGAAUUUGUCGUUCUCCCUCACCGUGACUCCAAAGAUGUGUUUAUCCUGGGUGGCACAGAUGACAUACAGGUCCUUCUUGAUGACAGCACCAUCAACAUUGCAACCAUUGCCUCAUCACGUUACGUUGGUCCACUGAAAACUCGAGUGGAUGACUGGCAGAAACAACUUGCUUUAUUUAAUCAAACACUGGAAGAGUGGCUGAACUGUCAGCGAAACUGGCUCUACCUAGAAAGUAUUUUUAAUGCUCCAGAUAUUCAGAGGCAAUUGCCUGCCGAGGCUAAGAUGUUCCUUCAAGUGGAUAAGUCAUGGAAGGAAAUCAUGAGGAAGGUGAACCGGUUGCCUAAUGCUCUUCGAGCCGCUACUCAACCAGGACUUCUGGAGACUUUUCAAAAUAAUAAUGCAUUACUUGACCAAAUUCAAAAGUGUCUAGAGGCAUAUUUAGAAUCAAAAAGAGUUAUCUUUCCAAGAUUUUACUUCUUGUCAAAUGAUGAACUUCUGGAGAUUCUGGCCCAGACACGAAAUCCCCAAGCUGUGCAGCCACACUUAAGGAAAUGCUUUGACUCCAUUUCAAAGCUCGAAUUUGCUCUCAUGCCUCCUACUGAAGGAAAAAUUCCUGGUAUGGAAGGAGAGCCAGAAAAGAUUUACACUAAUGAUAUUUUAGCAAUGCUAUCACCAGAAGGAGAACGGGUUAGCUUGGGAAAAGGCCUCAAAGCCCGAGGCAACGUGGAGGAUUGGCUUGGUAAAGUGGAAGAAGCCAUGUUCACAUCUCUGCGUCGCCUUUGCAAAGCCGCCAUCGCUGACUACCAGGGGAAACCAAGGACAGACUGGGUGAUUGCUGGCCACCCUUCUCAAGUGAUUCUGACCAUUUCUCAAAUCAUGUGGUGCCGUGAUUUGACUGAGUGCUUGGAAAGAGAAGGUGGUAAUCAUAUAGAGGCCCUGGAAGCUUUUGAAGAAGUAAACUUUGAGAGAUUAAAUGCCCUGGCAGCAACAGUUCGAGGCAGUCUUCCAAAAUUACACAGAAAUAUCAUAACUGCCUUAAUUACUAUUGAUGUACAUGCAAGAGACAUAGUCACCGAACUUGUUCAAGCCAAGGUAGAGGAAGUGGAUUCCUUUGACUGGCAGAGACAACUGCGCUACUAUUGGGAUAUAGAUCAGGAUAAUUGCGUGGCUCGGAUGGCGCUCUCUCAGUACACCUAUGGCUAUGAGUAUUUGGGUGCAUGCCCAAGACUAGUCAUUACUCCUCUCACAGAUCGCUGUUACCUUUGCCUCAUGGGGGCUUUGCAGCUUGACCUGGGAGGUGCACCAGCUGGUCCUGCUGGCACUGGGAAAACAGAGACAACCAAAGACCUAGCUAAAGCUCUUGCCAUCCAGUGUGUGGUCUUCAACUGCUCCGAUGGUUUGGACUACAAGAUGAUGGGGCGCUUCUUCAGCGGUCUGGCCCAAUCAGGGGCCUGGUGCUGCUUUGAUGAAUUUAAUCGAAUCGACAUAGAAGUUUUGUCGGUCAUCGCACAGCAGCUCAUUACUAUUAGGAAUGCCAAAGCUGCAAAGCUAUCUAGAUUCAUGUUUGAGGGCCGGGAAAUAAAGUUGGUUAUGACUUGUGCAGCUUUUAUCACAAUGAAUCCUGGAUACGCAGGCAGAACUGAAUUGCCAGAUAAUUUGAAGGCCCUGUUUAGACCCUUUGCAAUGAUGGUUCCAAAUUAUGCUUUGAUUGCAGAGGUAAUUCUAUAUUCUGAAGGAUUUGAAUCCAGUAAAAUAUUAGCCAGAAAAAUGACUCAGAUGUAUAAGCUUUGCAGUGAACAGCUCUCUCAGCAAGAUCACUACGACUUUGGCAUGAGAGCUGUGAAGUCUGUACUGGUCAUGGCUGGGUCCUUAAAAAGGGAGAAUCCACACUUAAGUGAAGAUGUGGUAUUGAUAAGAGCUUUACGAGACUCCAACUUGCCAAAAUUCCUAACAGAUGAUGCUAUUCUGUUCAGUGGAAUUAUAUCUGACCUUUUUCCUGGAGUCCAAAUUCCAGAACAUGAUUAUGGUAUAUUGCAGUCAACAAUUAUAGAUGUCAUGAAUAGAAAAAAUCUUCAGCCUGAGACAUGUAUGGUUAAAAAAGUGAUACAGUUCUAUGAAACUAUGCUGGUAAGACACGGUGUUAUGUUAGUCGGGCCGACAGGAGGUGGCAAGACCACAGUUUACCAAAUACUAGCAGAAACUUUAGGGAAUUUGCAAAAACUUGGUUUAGACAAUCCCUUUUACCAACCGGUUAAAACAUACGUUCUUAAUCCUAAAUCAAUUACAAUGGGUGAAUUAUAUGGUGAAGUUAAUAACAUAACCUUGGAGUGGAAAGAUGGUUUGAUGGCACUAAGUGUCCGAGCAGCUGUGAAUGACACUUCAGAAGACCAUAAAUGGAUCAUCAGUGAUGGGCCCGUGGAUGCUCUUUGGAUUGAAAAUAUGAAUACAGUGCUGGAUGAUAACAAGAUGCUUUGCCUGGCUAACAGUGAGAGGAUCAAACUCACACCUCAAAUCCACAUGCUUUUUGAGGUGCAAGACCUAAGAGUUGCCUCUCCUGCAACAGUCAGUCGAUGUGGAAUGGUGUUUGUGGAUCCUGAAGAACUGAAAUGGAUGCCUUAUGUUAAAACAUGGAUGAAGAAUAUUUCUAAAAAACUAAAUGAGGAAACCCAAGAAUACAUAUUGAACCUUUUCCAACGUUAUGUUGAUGAUGGUUUAUAUUUUGUCAAUAAAAAAUGCAGCCAAGCAAUCCCACAAGUGGACAUCAGCAAAGUUACUACACUCUGUUGCUUAUUGGAGUCUUUGAUAUUUGGGAAAGAUGGAGUUAAUUUGACAAUGGAACAAAUAAAACUGAAUACAGUACUAUGUCAGACUUUUAUAUUCUGUUAUUUAUGGUCUUUGGGUGGAAAUCUAACUGAAAACCACUGGGAUUCCUUUGAUACAUUUAUUAGAACACAAUUUGAUGAUAAUCCCGAUGCCAGGCUUCCCAGUUCUGGUGAUCUGUGGAGCAUUCAUAUGGACUUCGACACCAAACGACUGGAUCCCUGGGAACGAAUCAUACCCACCUUUAAGUACAGCCGAGAUGUUCCUUUUUUUGAAAUGCUAGUCCCCACAACUGACACGGUGCGCUUUGGAUAUCUAAUGGAAAAACUACUGGCAGUCAGGCAUUCAGUGCUGUUUACUGGAAUAACUGGAGUUGGCAAGUCUGUCAUUGCAAAAGGAUUGUUGAAUCGAAUUCAAGAAUCAGCUGCCUAUGUUCCUGUUUAUCUAAACUUUUCUGCUCAAACUUCAUCUGCAAGAACACAAGAGAUCAUUGAGUCAAAACUGGAAAGGAAAAGAAAAAAUAUACUAGGAGCACCAGGAAACAAACAAGUUGUGAUUUUUGUUGAUGAUUUAAACAUGCCCAGACUGGACCGCUAUGGCUCUCAGCCUCCAAUUGAAUUACUUCGGCAGUAUCAAGAUUUUGGUGGAUUUUAUGACAGAAACAAACUCUUUUGGAAAGACAUACAGGAUGUAACGAUCGUCUCAGCAUGUGCACCUCCAGGUGGUGGCCGCAACCCUGUGACUCCCCGUUUUAUCCGACACUUCAGCAUGCUGUGCCUUCCGACGCCCUCAGAGCACAGUCUGAAACAGAUUUUUCAGGCCAUCUUAAAUGGCUUCCUCAGUGACUUCCCACCAGCUGUAAAGCAAACCGCAUCAAACAUUGUAGAGGCUGCAGUUGAGAUUUAUAACAGAAUGAGUGUUGAUCUUCUGCCAACACCAGCCAAGUCCCAUUACAUCUUUAACUUGAGGGAUUUAUCCAAAUGUGUACAAGGUAUCCUCCAAUGUGAUCCAGGAACAGUAAGAGAAGAAAUACAGAUAUUUAGACUCUUUUGCCAUGAAUGCCAAAGAGUCUUCCAUGACCGUUUGAUUAAUAAUGAAGAUAAGCACUAUUUCCAUGCUAUUUUGACAGAAAUGGCCAACAAACAUUUUGGAAUUGCAAUUGGCCUGGAAUAUUUUUUGACAAAACCCAUCAUCUUUGGAGACUUUAUUAAGUUUGGAGCAGAUAAGACUGAUCGGAUUUACAAUGACAUGCCUGAUAUGGAGAAAAUCGCAAAUGUUCUACAGGACUAUCUUGACGAUUAUAACCUUAUAAAUCCCAAAGAAGUAAAGUUGGUGUUCUUCCAGGAUGCUAUAGAACAUGUUUCAAGGAUUGCCCGCAUGAUUCGUCAGGAAAGAGGCAAUGCGCUGCUCGUUGGAGUAGGAGGCACUGGAAAACAGUCUCUUACAAGACUUGCAGCUCACAUAUGUGGUUACAAAUGUUUGCAAAUUGAACUGAGCCGAGGAUAUAAUUAUGACAGUUUUCAUGAAGACCUGAGGAAGUUGUACAAACUGGCUGGUGUGGAUAACAAGAAUAUGGUCUUCCUCUUCACCGACACCCAGAUUGUAGUAGAAGAAUUCCUAGAAGAUAUAAAUAACAUCCUGAACUCCGGUGAAGUGCCCAAUUUAUUUGAAAAGGAUGAACUGGAACAGGUUUUAGCAGCCACCAGACCACGAGCGAAAGAAGUAGGAAUUUCCGAGGGGAAUAGAGAUGAGGUAUUUCAGCACUUUAUCAGCAGAGUCCGUCAGAAGCUGCACAUCGUUCUCUGUAUGAGCCCUGUGGGGGAGGCCUUCCGGUCCCGGUGCCGAAUGUUCCCAUCCCUUGUGAACUGCUGCACUAUUGAUUGGUUUGUCCAGUGGCCUAGAGAAGCACUUCUUUCUGUAUCAAAGACAUUUUUCUCCAGUGUUGAUGCUGGAAAAGAAGAAAUGAAAGAAAAGCUUUCCCUCAUGUGUGUGAACAUUCACCUGAGCGUCUCCAAUAUGGCAGAACGCUAUUACAUGGAGCUCCGGAGACGGUACUACACAACGCCCACCUCCUACCUGGAACUCAUCAAUCUUUUCCUGACUAUGCUGAGUGAAAAAAAGAAGCAGUUGGUUUCAGCACGUGACCGGGUGAAGAAUGGCCUUACCAAGCUAUUAGAAACCAAUGUACUAGUAGAUAAAAUGAAAUUAGAGCUUUCAGCUUUAGAGCCUAUCCUUUUUCAAAAAUCACAAGAUGUUGAAGCCCUGAUGGAAAAAUUGGCAGUGGAUCAAGAAAAUGCCGAUCAGGUCCGUAGCAUUGUGCAAGAAGAUGAAGCGACGGCAAAAGUGAAAGCUGAAGAGACCCAAGCAAUAGCUGAUGAUGCUCAAAGAGACCUUGAAGAAGCUCUACCUGCACUUGAUGCUGCUAAUAAAGCACUGGAUUCCUUAGAUAAAGCAGAUAUAUCUGAGAUCAGAGUUUUUACAAAGCCCCCAGAUAUGGUCAUGACUGUUAUGGAAGCAAUCUCUAUUCUCUUGAAUGCCAAACCUGAUUGGCCAACAGCAAAGCAACUUCUUGGUGACUCUAACUUUCUAAGAAGACUUCUAGAAUAUGAUAAGGAAAAUAUAAAGCCUCAGAUAUUGGCAAAACUUCAGAAGUAUAUUAACAAUCCUGAUUUUGUGCCUGAAAAAGUAGAGAAAGUGUCCAAAGCAUGUAAAUCCAUGUGCAUGUGGGUAAGAGCGAUGGAUCUAUACUCUAGGGUAGUCAAAGAAGUCGAACCGAAGAGACAAAAACUCCGUGCUGCGCAGGCUGAACUUGAUAUCACAAUGGCUACUCUGAGAGAAAAGCAAGCCUUGCUAAAAAAAGUGGAAGAUCAAAUACAGGCCUUACAAGACAAAUAUGACAAAGGGGUGAACGAGAAAGAAAGUCUGGCAAAAACUAUGGCCCUGACAAAAGCACGUCUGAUACGUGCAGGAAAGCUGACGGCUGCACUAGAAGAUGAGCAAGUUCGAUGGGAAGAAAGCAUCCAGAAAUUCAAUGAGGAGAUAUCAAAUAUCAUUGGGAAUGUGUUUAUAGCAGCAGCUUGUGUAGCCUAUUAUGGGGCCUUCACAGCCCAGUAUAGGCAAUCGCUUAUAGAAUACUGGAUCCAGGACUGUCUGUCUCUGGAGAUCCCAAUCAAUCCUUCCUUCAGUCUCAUUAACAUUCUUGGUGAUCCCUACAAAAUACGGCAGUGGAACACUGAUGGGCUGCCCCGUGACAUGAUAUCAACAGAAAAUGGCAUUUUGGUUACUGAAGGGAGACGAUGGCCUUUGAUGAUUGACCCCCAGGAUCAGGCAAACCGUUGGAUAAGGAACAAGGAAAGCAAAAGUGGUUUAAAGAUCAUUAAGCUUACGGAUACUAAUUUCUUGCGUACACUUGAAAAUUCAAUCCGACUUGGUUUACCUGUCUUACUGGAAGAGCUUAGAGAAACCUUGGAUCCAGCUCUAGAACCCAUUCUUUUGAAGCAGACUUUCAUGAGCGGUGGGCGGCUGCUCAUUCGCCUCGGAGACUCAGACAUUGACUACGACAAAAACUUCAGGUUCUACAUGACAACCAAACUGCCAAAUCCCCACUACCUGCCCGAGGUGUGCAUUAAAGUCACCAUCAUCAAUUUCACUGUAACCAAAUCAGGUCUGGAGGAUCAGCUGUUAAGUGAUGUGGUACGACUUGAGAAACCCGAGUUGGAAGAACAAAGAAUCAAGCUCAUUGUGAGAAUAAACACUGAUAAAAACCAGCUGAAAACUAUUGAAGAGAAAAUCCUGAAAAUGCUCUUUACAUCUGAAGGAAAUAUUCUGGACAAUGAAGAACUUAUUGACACACUCCAGGAUUCAAAGAUCACUUCAGGUGCCAUUAAAAUCAGGCUGAAGGAAGCUGAGUCCACUGAACUGAUGAUAAAUGUUGCUCGUGAGAAGUAUCGUCCAGUAGCCACUCAAGGCUCUGUUAUGUACUUUGUUAUUGCAAGCCUCUCAGAAAUAGAUCCUAUGUAUCAGUAUUCAUUAAAAUAUUUUAAACAGUUGUUCAAUACAACAAUUGAAACAUCUGUAAAGUCAGACGAUCUAGAGCAGCGCAUGGAAAUACUCCUGGAACAAACGCUUCUAACUGCUUACGUCAAUGUUUCCAGAGGACUCUUUGAGCAACAUAAACUCAUCUACAGCUUUAUGCUGUGUGUAGAGAUCAUGCGUCAGCAAGAAAGCCUAACUGAUGCCGAGUGGAAUUUCUUUCUCCGAGGUUCUGCAGGAUUAGAAAAGGAACGCCCACCUAAGCCUGAAGUUCCCUGGCUGCAUAAUGCCAUGUGGUUCGCAUGCUGUGACUUAGAAGAAUCAUUUCCAGUUUUUAAAGGACUUACACAAUACAUACUGUUACAUCCUAUUUCCAUACGAAUAGGAUCCUUUGAGACUUAUAUCAAUCCAUAUGAAUGGGAAGGCUAUUCUAAAAGUAAGGAGGAAGAAGAAUUCAUGACAGAAGAAAAAGAGACCAAAAACCGUAAUUCCUGGCAUCCAGUAUUGAGUUCUUUCCAAAAGCUACUUCUCAUUAAAUGUUGCAAAGAAGAGAAGAUAGUUUUUGCUCUUACAGACUUUGUAAUAGAAAGCCUUGGAAAACGCUUUAUAGAGACACCCCCUGUGGACCUGCCCACUCUGUAUCAAGACAUGUCGUAUAACACUCCCCUGGUAUUCAUCUUAAGCACAGGCUCGGAUCCUAUGGGGGCAUUCCAGAGGUUUGCCCGGGACAGCGGGUAUUCAGAACGGGUGCAAUCAAUUUCACUGGGGCAAGGACAAGGACCCAUUGCUGAAAGAAUGAUCAAAGAUGCGAUGAAAUCAGGAAACUGGGUGUUUUUGCAGAACUGCCAUCUUGCUGUUUCUUGGAUGUUGGCAAUGGAAGAACUAAUUAAAACCUUCACAGAUCCAAACAUUAUCAUCAAGGACACUUUUCGACUUUUUUUAAGUUCCAUGCCUAGUAGUACAUUUCCUGUUACAGUUCUUCAAAAUUCUGUCAAGGUAACCAAUGAGCCUCCAAAAGGUUUACGUGCAAAUAUCAGACGAGCAUUUACUGAAAUGACACCUUCGUUUUUUGAAGAAAAUAUACUCGGAAGAAAAUGGAGACAAAUAAUAUUUGGCAUUUGUUUCUUCCAUGCAAUUAUUCAGGAGAGAAAAAAGUUUGGCCCUCUUGGUUGGAAUAUCUGCUAUGAAUUUAAUGACAGUGACAGGGAAUGUGCUUUGCUGAACCUCAACCUUUAUUGUCAAGAAGGAAAUAUUCCCUGGGAUGCAUUGAUUUACAUUACUGUUUGUUUGAUCCAAGAAAAGGAUAAAACUCAAUCUGGAUGGAGAAGCACAAAGUCUCAUGGUGAAAUUACAUAUGGUGGUAGAGUUACAGACACCUGGGAUCAAAGAUGCCUUCGGACUGUCUUAAAAAGGUUUUUUUCUCCUGAAACAUUAGAAGAGGAUUACAAAUAUUCUGAAUCAGGCAUCUAUUUUGCACCAUUGGCUGAUACCCUACAAGAGUUUAAAGACUACAUUGAAAAUCUGCCUUUAAUAGAUGAUCCAGAAAUAUUUGGAAUGCAUGAAAAUGCCAACCUAGUUUUCCAGUACAAAGAGACCAACACUUUAAUCAACACCAUACUUGAGGUGCAGCCAAGGUCAUCUUCUGGUGGAGAGGGAAAAAGCAAUGAUGAAAUUGUCCAAGAACUUGUUGCUUCAGUCCAGACCAGAGUUCCAGAAACACUAGAAAUGGAGAGUGCAUCUGAGAGCCUUUUCGCCAAGGAUUCCCAAGGACGCCUUAACUCUUUGACUACCGUUCUCGGACAAGAAGUGGACCGCUUUAACCAGCUAUUGAAGUUAAUACAUACUUCUCUGGAGACACUCAACAAAGCUAUUGCUGGCCUUGUGGUGAUGUCUGAGGAAAUGGAGAAGGUGUACAACAGUUUCCUCAACAACCAAGUUCCUUCUCUGUGGUCCACCACAGCCUACCCAUCCCUGAAGCCACUAGGAUCGUGGGUCAAAGACCUGAUCCUGAGGACUGCAUUUGUGGAUUUGUGGCUCAAAAGAGGGCAGCCUAAGUCCUUCUGGAUCUCCGGUUUCUUCUUUCCUCAAGGAUUUCUAACAGGAACUCUUCAAAAUCAUGCUCGGAAACACAAUUUGCCUAUAGACGAGCUGAGUUUCAAGUACAACAUGAUUCCUAUCUAUCGGGAUCAAGCUGCAGUUAUAGAAGCUGCCAAGACAGUGCAGUUUGGACAAGAACUGCCCAUGGACUUGGAGUUGCCCUCUCCUGAAGAUGGUGUUCUUGUUCAUGGAAUGUUUAUGGAUGCUUCUCGAUGGGACGAUACAGAGAUGGUGAUAGAAGAUGCACUGCCAGGACAGAUGAAUCCAAUGCUGCCUGUGGUGCAUUUUGAACCUCAACAAAAUUACGUGCCAAGCCCAACACUUUACCAUUCCCCACUUUAUAAAACAGGGGCCCGGGCAGGAACACUCUCAACCACAGUAGGCAAUCUGGAAGGAGAAAGAGAAUGGAAGAGGGAUAAUAUUUGAAAAAAUAAUGGCUGAUAAUUCCCAGAACUGAACAAACACUUGAGUCCUCAGAUCACAAGAUCUCACAAAGUGGCAGGUCAUUCCACCAACUUUGUGGUAACUGUGCUCUUACCCUCCAAGCGGUCCAAAGAUUACUGGAUUGCCAAGGGGUCAGCUUUGCUCUGCCAACUAAAUGAGUGAGAAGUUGCCACCUCCUGCUAAAAAAGAACCAGGCCAAAAGUCUUUCCUGAUGGGGACAAAGGUCCGUGUAACAUAUGCAAGCAAAACAGCUAUACUUCUGGUCUGACUUAAGGAUGGUUAGUGUGGCUUUUCUCUUCUAACCUAAAAUAAAGUGUCUGAGUGCUUCA